Molecule: ribosomal RNA, 253 nt
Filed under: uncultured bacterium
Lineage: Bacteria
Description: partial 16S ribosomal RNA
Rfam family: Bacterial small subunit ribosomal RNA
Source: RNAcentral
UACGUAGGGGGCAAGCGUUGUCCGGAAUCAUUGGGCGUAAAGGGCGCGUAGGUGGCCCGGUCAGCGUGUGGUGAAAGCUCGGGGCUCAACCCCGAGUCGGCCGUGCGAACUGCUGGGCUUGAGCACUGUAGAGGCAGGCGGAAUUCCGGGUGUAGCGGUGGAAUGCGUAGAGAUCCGGAAGAACACCGGUGGCGAAGGCGGCCUGCUGGGCAGUGGCUGACACUGAGGCGCGACAGCGUGGGGAGCAAACAGG